Molecule: ribosomal RNA, 439 nt
Filed under: Coryda ovumreguli
Lineage: Eukaryota; Metazoa; Mollusca; Gastropoda; Stylommatophora; Xanthonychidae
Description: partial 16S ribosomal RNA
Rfam family: Archaeal large subunit ribosomal RNA
Source: RNAcentral
AGCUUGAUGUUUUAUUAUAUUAGGUUUCUUCUGCUCAAUGGCACCUAAAUAGCCGCAGUACACUGACUGUGCAAAGGUAGCAUAAUAAUUUGGCUUAUAAUUGAAGUCUGGUAUGAAUGAAAGCAUGGGGGUUAACUGUCUCAUUAAUAAUAACCAGAAAUUAUUAAGUAAGUGAAAAUACUUACGGUACUAUUAAAAGACGAGAAGACCCUAGAAAUUUCUACUAUAUUUUUUCUUACAUUUUUAUUGGGGCAAUAAAACGACACAUCAUUAACUCGUUUAUACAUACAGGAACCUUUAUUUGGUGAAAGCUAAAAUUACUCUAGGGAUAACAGCAUAAUUCUGUUUUUGUGUUUGUGACCUCGAUGUUGGACUAGGAAGCUUAAUAACCAGAAAUUAUUAAGAAAUGUUCUGUUCGAACAUUAUGUAUUCCUACAUG